GAAGUUAGGCGUCCCCAAACAGCGUUGUCUGAAGGGUACCGGGAAUCUUGGAAUGCAGUUCUUGGGCUUUGGGUAAAUGAAUGCAGCUCUGUUCGGGGAUUUUCUUGCAGCCUUGAAUGAGUUAUUACCAUCGGAAAAAACUUGGGCCGGAAAUAUGGAGGCUAAAACAUGCAGUCAAAAAUCCACUGUCGGACACUGUACCCUCAGCAGAUUUCAAUAUGAUCCUAGAAUGUACAGAGUAUAUAGAAUCAAUCAACAUAUUAUCAAUCACCAACCCAGACC
This is a long non-coding RNA of Alligator sinensis (Chinese alligator), 282 nucleotides long. RefSeq lists it as uncharacterized. NCBI's taxonomy places the organism in Eukaryota, Metazoa, Chordata, Crocodylia, Alligatoridae. The transcript is spliced from 4 exons. The record is from RefSeq and is a predicted model, not a curated record.